GGAGAUGAUGGCCCUGAAAGGUACUAUCUCUACCGGCCGAGAAAAACUCCUUCGCGCUGCUCCUCCAAGUUCUUUGUAACAAAUAGCUGAAUAUAAUUUCAAUCGAUUCGCGUCAUGUGAUGACGCAUCGGUAGGGAUGCAGCUCGCAGGCUUCAAUACGACCGAAAUGAACGAGGAACUACUUAGUUGCAAUCUCCUUAACCUUAGUGCGCCCAGCCAGCAACACCAUAGUUCAACUAAAUCUAAUAUGCGAUCUUAAGGUUCUAGUUUCACUGCUGGUUUCUGAUGCGAAAAUGAUUUGCGCAGCGCAGCUUGGACAGCCCGGCUCUUCUACUGGCCCGGAGCCUAUCCAGCCUCGCCGGUGUAAUGCCUAUGUGCCACCGACCUACGAUGUGUGCAUACGGGCGGAUCGGACCAAUGGUUGGGGCCAUAUGCCAAACGCCACCAUGCCACGUGGCAGUUUCGGAAUACUGGCAACACGGAUAGGGGCCGCGCAUGGAUACUCGACGUGGACCUAACACUGGUGACUUAGGCAGGGGAGCACCCAACCAUAGAACGUGAGCCACAGUGACACACACCUCAGCUCCUGGAGCUCCUAAGAUUUUACCUUAUUCCGCACCUACGUGGGUUUGGGGUGGUAAUCGUGGAAGGGAAUGUGCACGCCUGCAGCGCACCGUAGUGCCAGUAAAAGUAGGUGACUGAAACUUUGGCGACGGCCUAAAAAAGUUCCUAAAAUGAUUCUUGCAAUGAUCCUUGCAGUUGGUGAUGGCCCGGAGAUCGUUUUGCAACUGUGUGACGAAUAUUGGUGAUGGCCGCAUGUCAACUUGAUCGUCGUAGGGAAUGUGGGCGCAAUGCUGCAGCCAGCCGACGACAAUGACGCCACUCCGGUUGUCAACAGCGAGCGGGCCAAACAUCAACGUUCGUCAUAUGGAGACAAUCGCGAUGGUCCAGGAAACAGGCUGCGUUUGGCGGUUCCGGUUCAUUGCUGCUAUGCAUCAUUACUUUUGCAACCCGGAAAGUCGUGUAAUGUUAUCUUUCAACGUGAUGCAAGACGAACGAUGGUGAACGAACUCUAUUCGAUCAGUGUUUGAGAGAUUGUGGUGACGCGUGUUGCGGCAUUCCCCACGGCGUUUGCACGAAGUAAACUGUAACUCAUCGGGG
This 1161-nucleotide long non-coding RNA is filed under the name Volvox carteri. Its description in RNAcentral is "long non-coding RNA (VCAR_LNC000607)". Lineage: Eukaryota; Viridiplantae; Chlorophyta; Chlorophyceae; Chlamydomonadales; Volvocaceae. The record is from RNAcentral.